CGCUUAUUGCGCGGCGAAACACCUUACACACAGUGUUUUUGAUUUCAGAAACUUUGCUUUGGUUUGGCGUAGAAAUACGUUGGGCCAGAGGUUUACUAAACUUCAAUUUUAUUGAAUUGUUUUUAUAAUCAGUCAGAAGAAAUAUAAUCUUCAAAACUUUCAACAACGGAUCUCUUGGUUCUCGCAUCGAUGAAGAACGCAGCGAAAUGCGAUAAGUAAUAUGAAUUGCAGAUAUUCGUGAAUCAUCGAAUCUUUGAACGCACAUUGCGCCCUCUGGUAUUCCGGAGGGCAUGCCUGUUUGAGCGUCAUUUCUCUCUCAAACCUCUGGUUUGGUAUUGAGUGACACUCUUUGGAGUAUACUUGAAAGAUAGUGGCACGAGUAGUACUGGAUAGUGCUUUCAUGAAGAUCAAUGUAUUAGGUUCUACCAACUCGUUGAAUUUCGUGAUGCAAAUUUCUGGUGUUUUGGCUCUGCCUUACAAAAUCCACACAAGUUUGACCUCAAAUCAGGUAGGACUACCCGCUGAACUUAAGCAUAUCAAUAAGCGGAGGAAAAGAAACCAACAGGGAUUGCCUUAGUAACGGCGAGUGAAGCGGCAAAAGCUCAAAUUUGAAAUCUGGCACUUUCAGUGUCCGAGUUGUAAUUUGAAGAAGGUAUCUUUGGAGUCAGCUCUUGUCUAUGUUCCUUG
This 687-nucleotide ribosomal RNA is filed under the name Scheffersomyces stambukii. RNAcentral describes it as "eukaryotic LSU rRNA". The stretch from base 155 to 308 matches the Rfam family "5.8S ribosomal RNA". The record is from RNAcentral. Lineage: Eukaryota; Fungi; Ascomycota; Pichiomycetes; Serinales; Debaryomycetaceae.